AUUAGAUACCCGGGUAGUCCCAGCCGUAAACGAUGCACGUUAGGUGUAUCGAUGACCACGAGUCAUCGAGGUGCCGAAGGGAAACCGUGAAACGUGCCGCCUGGGAAGUACGGUCGCAAGGCUGAAACUUAAAGGAAUUGGCGGGGGAGCACCACAACAGGUGGAGCCUGCGGUUUAAUCGGACUCAACGCCGGAAAUCUUACCGGGACCGACAGCAAUAUGAAGGCCAGGCUGAAGACUUUGCCGGAUUAGCUGAGAGGAGGUGCAUGGC
Molecule: ribosomal RNA, 271 nt
Filed under: uncultured archaeon
Lineage: Archaea
Description: partial 16S ribosomal RNA
Rfam family: Archaeal small subunit ribosomal RNA
Source: RNAcentral